UGCGGCGUAGCUCCGUGCGGCUUGACGGCAGACAGCGGUGCCGCUGCUCGGGAGAACAGGAUGCUGUCAGGCCGAGCACACGCACCGACUAACGGAUAGACGCCGCAGCAGCAGCAUCCUUUGUUCGCUGGCGCAGGGUACCAAGCGGUGGCACCCACUGAAAACCUGCAGCACGUGGAGAAGGGAAAGGCGCUCCAUUCUGACUGUCAAAAUCAGCAAUCUGAACCCAAAAAUAGCCAGUAGGCCGACCCGGGAAGGUUGUGCUAGCCACUAGCACAGCCCCAGUCUGAUUGUCUGGCUGACAGGAGAGGACGAGGCGGG
Myripristis murdjan (pinecone soldierfish) is the source of this 321-nucleotide long non-coding RNA. RefSeq lists it as uncharacterized. Lineage: Eukaryota; Metazoa; Chordata; Actinopteri; Holocentriformes; Holocentridae. The record is from RefSeq and is a predicted model, not a curated record. The transcript is spliced from 3 exons.